Zootermopsis nevadensis is the source of this 2961-nucleotide non-coding RNA. The record is from RefSeq and is a predicted model, not a curated record. NCBI's taxonomy places the organism in Eukaryota, Metazoa, Arthropoda, Insecta, Blattodea, Termopsidae.
UGUGUCUUCAAGUGGUUCUAAGAACGGAUUGUGCAAGGGCGUGUAUUACGUUUUGGAAGCACAAUGAGCAAAUUCAAAAUGGUUACCAGUAUCAUCUCCAUUUUUAGGAUGUUGAUGAGAUAAACAGUAUUUUAUAACAUUUCAAAAGCAAGUAGAUAUACAUAAUUUAGGACAGUUUUGAAGGUGUACAUAAAUAUAGAUCCAGGAGAGCCAGCUGAACUUGACUUGAAAGAAGAUUUGAAGCUGUCUGAGGAGGGAAUUUAAUGAGCACUAAACUGGCAAUGAUAUUCAUAUUCCUGUACAAUAAACUUCAAACAGAAGACACCACCAUGUCAGAAGCUGUUCCAGGAUAAGUAAUGAAACUGGGGUGACAGAUAAUUACGCACUUUGAAGGAGAUAAUUGUAAGUAGCAUCAGCAGUGAAAUCACUUUGGUGAUUUAAUUGUUGAUGCUACUUAACAAAUUGCUUUGCCUCAGCUCUUGUAAAGGACAUUAAAGUGGAAAUGAGAUCCUGACGUUCUCUUUGUCAUUAUACUGAGAGGAGGAGUAUUUCUAUUCUUUCAAAGUGAAGGUCAGAAGAAACAAAGCAACAGUCACUGGAUUUCUUGUUCAUUUGCUGAAGGGGGUUAGCUGCAGAGUGAGAGCACCAACACAUGAAGAUGUGAAUUUGUGCUUCACACAUUUGCUGCCACCUUUACUGACUUGAUGGCUAACCAUAUGAGAGAAUGUGUGUUUUAUUGCUCUUUGUGAGAAAUAAUGUACCUGAUAGUAGUUGCAGUAUUAUAUUUCAAAUCUUUUCAAAGGAACCCUAAAAAUGUGGUAUGACAUGUAUGUGCAUCAGUAGCACUGAUAGUGGUUCAGUGGUUCAUAUUCUAUAAUGCUCAGUCCUCUCCUACUUGAUGAUGGUGAGGACAGAACAGCUGUAAUGUUAUCAGCAUGCUGAACAUUGGAAAUAUUUCUCCUUGUGAAAUGACUACAGAAAAAUGUUUCAGACAGAAAUUGCUUUAUUUCAAACUGUUCACUAAGAACUUAUUCUAACUACUCUAAUAUUAACACAAGGUCAAUUUAAAAAAAGAGGAGAAGACUGACAGUGUCCAUUAAAUGGUACAGCUCUCAUCAGCUUUUGUAAUAUUGUACUCUCCAAAUGGAUUUCUUAUUUGAAAAUAAUUGUAAGUCAGUGUUGUAGACCAAGAAAGGUACAGUGAUUUGGGACGAUGUUAGCUCUCGGGCCUCACAGUAUACUCUCCCAGCAACAAGGUCGAACUCCAGACUUUAAAAGAAUGGAAUGGAGUGAAGGGAGAAGUCAGAGGUUUGGGUGUGGACAGACCGUAGUACAGCCUGUGAGAUCUUGGAAAAAGCAUAUUUUCAUGGGCUGAAUUGCAUGAAGCAAUAGUUCCUUAAAAGCUGACAGCUGGCCAGUCUGUCGAGGAAACCCUGGUUUAGCCUAAUUGAAGGUUAACAGUUUAAUCUGGUCCACGUUCUGGUUAAUUAAACAUUUGGUUUGGUUGAUAUUUUUUAUGAUAUGAUCCACGUCCUAUGCUUGCACUGUGAAGGAUCUAUGGAAUGCAAAUAAAUUAUGUAAAAAUCCCAUUCCUGUAUAAGUCUCAAUAUGAUGUGUGUUCGGAAAUGUCACAGAGCCUGUUCGGGGUGUAACUUUGCCGUUGUGAAGGUCGGGGGAAAUAUGUCUGUGUCUUGAUCUAUGUAAAAAAUUCAGUUUGUAAGAUUCAUGAAGAUACCCUAUCAGUACUGUUCGAGUGUAAGGACGCAAGGACCAUAAUGCAUUCGGAUCGAGAGCUUGUCGGUUACUUUUCUUUUAGUUGGAAGAAUGUGUAGACAUGUUUGAUUGAAUUGGUGUUUCUCGGUUGCGUAGUCCAUUUUCUGGCAACCAAAAGGAAAAGGAAAGAGAGAGCUGGUUCAUCUAAAAGCAGGAGAGAUGAUCCUGAAGCUGAGAGAUGCCACCUGAUGUGAAUGAUCUGUGCCAGCUGCAGCUGACCUACCAGAUUGGGGACAGACUGAAGAGUGUCAAGAAGAAAGUGGAGGGUCCUUGUUACUACUGACAAACAUACUAAGGUAAACAAGCUUAGUGUUCACAAAAUCUAUUACAAUAGUUAUCAGAGUGGCAUUGUAGCAUUUUGUUUGAGGGUGGCCUGGAAAGUUUUGUUUCUUUGUAUAGAGGAAAUGUAACCUCAAAAUUUGAUUGAUAUUACACCCAGUACAGUUGAACACCAUAUUUUAUACUAAUGAAAACAUUGAACAAUCCUUGUGAACAGGUAAUUUUAUACAUCUGCUAGGUGUAUUUUAAAAUUUGCACAUUACUGUCAUGUUACCAUGACACUCUGCUGCUUUGUUUCUUACAGAAGUAGGUACGAUUACUGUUAUUGACUGUGACCAUUUCAGGUACAGUUACUACUCACUUUAUGCCUAGAAAUGAUAUGUAAUUGGAAGCCUGAAAUGAGUUCCCUUUAGUACAGUUAGGGCCACAGUUUUAGCAACUUCUGUGAGUCAUGUUGCAAGAUGCCAUUUCAUUGAAAUUUGUAAUUCCUGCAACAAAACAUGGACUGAAAGAGGUGAAAUUUGUCAUUUUCACUCUAAUGUGUAGGGUCUACAAGCUCACAAAAUGUAAUUGAAAUUCAAAGGGAUUAGGUUGAAAAUCUUGUUGUUUUGACAUGGAGUGGCAGUCCACAUGCACUGCUUUUAGAGGGGCUGUGCAGAUUGAAUUCUGCAUGUGCUUUAAAGGUAGAAAUGAGACUGGAUAGGUACUUUAAAUUCUGAAUGGCACUGCUGGUUACAGUGAAUGCUGUGAAUAGGAACUGACUUGCAACUAAUGCGCAGGUGUAUUGUUUUUUUCUCUUUCUUUCUUUCUUCUGUGUUAGUUGGUAGGGACACUGCUACCACAAUGAUUCUGAAACAUGCAGUUAAUGGUUGUACUCGUGAUGCUUUGAAAUAAAGUGACUGUCUUAAU